AUGAUGAAGCGGAAGAUGGUGAUGAGGGUGGCGCUGAAGGACAGCAGCCAGCAGCGGAAGGCGCUCAAAGCAGUCUCCAGUCUCCAUGGUAUCGACGCGAUUGCUGCGGACUUGCUGGACGGGAGGAUCACGGUCACCGGUGUCGUCGACCCCGUCGAUGUUGUGGGCAAGCUGCGAAGGUUGUUUGGGAACGCCGAGAUCGUCUCCGUCGGGCCCGCCUUCGAGGCCAAGAAGGACGGCGACAAGAAGGAGCCUCCUCGUCCUCCUCCUCCUCCUCCUCGUCCUCCUCCCAAAAUAGUGGAAUGUCCCUAUCCCUAUACCUACCCCUACCCCUUCCCCUGCCCCUAUCCUCCUCCUCCUCCUCCUCCUCCUCCUCCUCCUCCUCCUCCUCGGUACGAGUUUACAGUCGGGUUCUUGAACAGCAUCACAGACAAUUUCUCCGAGGAGCGCAUCAUUGGCCGCGGUUGGCAUGGACUAGUCUACAAGGGAGUGCAGGACAAUGGGGUAUGCAUUGCCGUGAAGAAGCUUCACCUCAUGUCGGGGCUUGACGACGAGGAAUUCAAAAACGAGUUUAAUAAUCUUAUGAGGGUCCGACAUCAAAAUACCAUACCGUUGGUUGGUUACUGUCAUCAUACAACACAGGUGCUUGUUGAGCACAAUGGAAAGCAUGUUUCUGCUCGAGUAGAAGAAAGAUAUUUUUGCUCCGAAUACAUGGAGGGAGGAAACCUUGACAAGCAUCUUUCUAAUGAACCAUGUGCACUUGCUUGGCACACAUGUUACAAAAUAAUUAGAGGGGUAUGUGAGGGUUUACAUUACCUUCACAAAGGAGUUGAGUAUCCUAUUUACCAUCUGGAAUUAAAACCUACAAAGAUUUUGCUGGAUAACUACAUGAUGCCCAAAAUUGGAGGUUUUGGCUUCUCUAGACUCUUUGAUACAACGGAAACCUUCAAUACAUCAGAAGUUGCGCAAACAAGUGUAUACAUGCCACCAGAAUACAUCAGCAAACGGCAAAUCACACCAAAAUUUGAUGUAUUCAGUCUGGGCAUUAUAAUCUUGCAAAUAAUGGCAGGAAAGGAGAGCUACACCAAAUAUGCAGACAUUCCACCCAAAGAAUUUAUUGAACAUGUAUAUGGAUUAUGGGUAAAUAGGAUGCAGGGCACAAUACCGAAGCAUACUUCAUGUGAAGUUAGAACAUGCAUCGAAAUAGCUCUAAAAUGCGUGGAGUCCAGUCAAGUGAAGAGGCCUACUAUAAAUCAGAUCAUACAAAGACUGAACAAGAUUGAUAUUGUUGAGUGCUCAUCUAUAGGUGAACUAUAUAGGACAAGGGAGUUUGCAUUUGAGUUCUUAGAACAUAUUACAAAUGACUUUUCUGACCAGAACAAAGUUGGCAGUGGUGGAUAUGGAGAUAUUUAUAAGGGGGUGCUAGACAAUGGAGAAGAGAUUGCUGUUAAGAAACUUCAUCAUCAUCAAAUGUUGUACAUUACUGACAAGCAAUUUAAGAAUGAGGUUAUUAAUCUAAUGAGGGCCCAACACGAAAAUAUCGUACGAUUAGUUGGCUACUGCCAUCAUACAUCACAAAUAUUUGUUGAGUACGAAGGAAAACAUGUAUCUGCUAGUGUGGUAGAAAGAGCAAUUUGUUUCGAAUACAUGCAAGGUGGAAGCCUUGACGAUCAACUUUCAGCUGAAUCCUGCAAACUUGAUUGGGACAAAUGUUACAGAAUAAUAAAAGGAAUAUGUGAGGGUUUACAUUACCUUCAUAAUUCUGUUAAUCCCAUUUACCAUCUGGACUUAAAACCAGCAAAUAUUUUGUUGGAUAAGGAUAUAGUGGCAAAAAUUUGUGAUUUUGGCUUGUCAAGACUCUUUGAUUCAGCGCAAACCUAUAUCACAGCAUCCCGAGAUCUUAAAGGAACAUUUGGAUACAUGCCGCCAGAAUACAUCAACGGACAAAUAAUCAGUCCGAAGUUUGAUGUAUUUAGUCUCGGGGUCAUAAUCAUACAAAUAAUGGCAGGAAAGGAGGGCUACUUCAAUUGUCAAGACACCCAUCCGAAAGAUUUUAUUGAGCAUGUGCAUGAAAAGUGGCGAGUGAGGCUGCAGGCAACAAUGUCGUCCCAUGUAUCUGAAGAAGUGAGGACAUGCAUCGAAAUAGCAUUAAAAUGUGUGGAGUAUGACCGAAAUCAAAGGCCUAAGAUAGCCCAGAUUGUUAAUGAAUUAAGUAACAUUGGUAUUGCUAAGAGUUCACCAGUAGGUCAGGUGCAGGCAACAAUAUCGCCCCAUGUAUCCGAAGAAGUGAGGACAUGCAUCGAAAUAGUGUUAAAAUGUGUGGAGGAUGACAGCACGCGAAGGCCUACAAUAGCCCAGAUUAUUAAUGAACUAAGUAAGAUUGGUAUUGCUAAAGGUUCACCCAUCAGCCAGAUUUCCCAAGCUACUUUUUCCGGCCCGCAACAGAUGCCACAACCGGAACAAGGAGGAAGCCAUCGGGCAAACAAGCUGAGUGGAAGCGGAUAUCAUGCCGUCGCCAAGCGUGCAGAAGCUGAACGUGCGGAAGUGGAACGGAAAACUGAAGCUGAAGAAGAACAUAAAACUGAAGCUGAAGAGGAACGUGAACUGAAGAUGAAGGGCGCUGCCGAAAUUGAAGCUGAACCCUGCAACACAAGUUCAGAAGUGGUGACACCGCCGGAAGCAGGAGAACAAGAGGGCGGGUCCCGCGAGUCAGCCAGACUUCAUGCCCCCUCUAAGCGAUAUGCUGGCAAUGACUGGGUCCGGUAUUAG
This 2769-nucleotide ribosomal RNA is filed under the name Triticum aestivum (bread wheat). RNAcentral describes it as "partial small subunit ribosomal RNA". The record is from RNAcentral. Lineage: Eukaryota; Viridiplantae; Streptophyta; Magnoliopsida; Poales; Poaceae.